RNAcentral lists this ribosomal RNA (559 nucleotides) under uncultured eukaryote. RNAcentral describes it as "eukaryotic LSU rRNA". It matches the Rfam family "Eukaryotic large subunit ribosomal RNA", at positions 1092 to 1633 of the family's 3401-position model. The record is from RNAcentral.
GAUCGGACCCCGGACGUGAAGUCGACGAUGGUCGGUGGGCUGGUUUUGGUAAGCAGAACGGGCGAUUCGGGAUGAACCGGAAGCGGGGAGAAAGGGCCCGAGAUUGCGUCGACGCGGAUCCCGAAAAGGGCGUCGAUCCGUCGCGACAGCGGGACGGUGGUCAUGGAAGUCGAAAUCCGCUAAGAAGCGUGUAAAAACGUACCCGCCCAACGGAUCGGCCCCGAAAAUUGAUGGCGCUCGAACGCAACCCUCGAACCCCGCCGACGGAGGCUGGGGGAGGCCCCGUCGAGUAGGCGGACGCGCGGGUCGCUUCGACGCUCUCGCGCGAGCGGGGGCGGAGCGGCCCGUGGUGCAGAUCUUGGUGGUAGUAGCGAUCACCCAGGCGAGAACCCUGAGGGCCGAAGUGGAGAAGGGGUUUCUCGAGAACGGCACUCGCUCGAGAGUUAGUCGAUCCUAAGCUGCCGGCGGCAGCCACGAAACGGUCGAUCGGGCGCGAGCCCGGCAGCCACGACCGGGCAGCGAAAGGGAAUUGGGAACCUCCUUCCCAAACCCGGAACCG